Oncorhynchus keta (chum salmon) is the source of this 699-nucleotide long non-coding RNA. RefSeq lists it as uncharacterized. The transcript is spliced from 3 exons. The record is from RefSeq and is a predicted model, not a curated record. Lineage: Eukaryota; Metazoa; Chordata; Actinopteri; Salmoniformes; Salmonidae.
AAUCAAAUUGAGAAACAAAUGUAUAGCAAGCUAGCCAGAUUCAGUCUAUUUUCUAACUGUGACUUCUAUAUUAUAUCAUAGCCCGAAGCUAGUGCUAGCAAGUUUAAUUCAAAUAUUGGCGUUAGCUAGUUAGCUACUGUACGUUUGGCGACGUUACUGUGCAAAUUCAAUUCGAUUGGUUUCGGGCACGAAUAUUAAAACUGAAAUCAGCUUAAGAAAUGUAUAGAUAAAAUGUUUUCGGCAAUAAGAUGGUUAGUGUGUAAGAAUUAAGAGAGCAGUUCUGCCUGCUCUCCCCUCUACUAUUUCCUGUACCGAGACUGGCUAUCUGACAAGUGGUCGGCAGAACCACCUGCUGCACCCAUCUGCUCUCUAUCCCCCAGGACAGGAGGACGGGGAGAAAUAGAAAAUCAGCCUUACCCUACUUCUGCCACCCAAUUCAUAUUCAGGAUGCCCCUCCCCAUAUAACCUACUAUGUCGCCUGUGGACAUCCUCUCUGCAGCAUAAUGUCUUGUGCAGCCUACUUAGAUGGCAACGCAACGCCAAAGUCCAUGAGCAGAGCCAAACAAUGGACUGACGAGGUGGAGAACUUAUACAGAUUCCAACAGGCAGGCUACAGAGAUGAACUGGAAUACAAACAAGUAAAGCAAGUUGACUUGAUCGACAGGUGGCCUGAGACUGGGUUUGUGAAGAAGCUUCAGC